AUUGCACGGACGGAGGAGUAUGAAAUUUCGUGUAUUGUUUAUAUAGAGAAGAGGUUCGAUUGCGCGGACGCGUUCGUAUGCCGCGCACGCGACCCCCCGGCUGACCGCUGCCUCGCUCAGGAAUUUUAACAGUUCAAAACAUUCUAAACCGAUGUACAGUCUCAGCAGUAAUAAAAUGACAGUAAAACAAACAACGGGAGAUUGUAGCAAAAUAAGAACCCCGUUUUUAGUCCUUCGUGCCGGAUUUUGUGAAGCAGUUUAUAUAAUUGCUCGAAUUAUUUAUAUUAUUUCUUCCCGUAUUAUUUAAAUAAAUAUAUUUGUUAUAUUUUAUAACUGAGAAGCAAAAUAAAGUAAUUUAAAUUA
This is a long non-coding RNA of Galleria mellonella (greater wax moth), 363 nucleotides long. RefSeq lists it as uncharacterized. NCBI's taxonomy places the organism in Eukaryota, Metazoa, Arthropoda, Insecta, Lepidoptera, Pyralidae. The transcript is spliced from 3 exons. The record is from RefSeq and is a predicted model, not a curated record.